This is a long non-coding RNA of Solanum pennellii, 952 nucleotides long. RefSeq lists it as uncharacterized. NCBI's taxonomy places the organism in Eukaryota, Viridiplantae, Streptophyta, Magnoliopsida, Solanales, Solanaceae. The record is from RefSeq and is a predicted model, not a curated record. The transcript is spliced from 2 exons.
CAAAUAAAGUAUACUUCCUUUGCUUGACUUGAAAGUUUACAAAGUUAUCAAUAUAUAUAUAAUAGAGCUAGUCUUUCAAAUUGUGGCAUCAUGAAAAGGUGAGUUUUGGGCAAGAUGGAGAAGCAGGGUACGUGCUUUACUAACUCAUGCAUUAUAGUCUCUAAGAUUAGUUAGAGUCGCGUGUAAUCUUUUAAAAAAACUUUUUAUUUAUCUAUACGUAGACGUGUAGAUUCGAGAUUAAAAUUUGAUGUUUAUCAUUCAAUCCGUUGCAUUGUAGAUUUAGAAUCUAAUAUUUUUAGACAUUUUAGUAAGUAAUAUUGUACAUGUAUAUCAAACUCGUUAAAUGUAUGGUGCGUCUAUAUCUCUCUAUAUACACAAUUUGAUCAAAAGUAAUAUGUUAAAUUAAACUCACAAUACCGUUCUGAAAUCUUAUGCAAUUUGACUAAACAUGGAGUUCCUAAGAAAUAUGAGAAAAAUUUACCAUGUUACAAAAAUUACCUUUUUUAAAGAAGAAUACACUUUGUAGACUUUUCGUCAAAUAAAUGCGACCCAAUAUAGAUAAAAUGUUUAUAAUGUCAUUAAACAGUUGUCAAAUAAGAAAAUAUAUCGUUCUUGAUUAAAUAAAAAAAUGUAUCACGUAAAUUGAGACGGAAAAAUAAUUCUAAUAUAUGUUGUUCCAUGAGUUAAAUGAGUUAGUUCUUCAUGUGCCCAUCUUCCCCAUCGUGACCACUCAACCUUAUUCUCUUUACAAAGCAUUUGCAACUCGCUCUUCUCCAUAUUGACAAGCCAGUGUUGAAAGCCUCGUGAAACUGAGAUAUGAAGACAAAAGACGACAAAUCUGACUGCUAAAAUGGACAAUAGUUCCCUUGUUUUUUUUCACUUUUGGCUAAUAAACUUUAGUAUAUAAAUUGUCGUAUUUUGGGCAUUUCAAGUAUUUUUAUUUUCCGUUUCA